Molecule: small RNA, 58 nt
Filed under: Helianthus annuus (common sunflower)
Lineage: Eukaryota; Viridiplantae; Streptophyta; Magnoliopsida; Asterales; Asteraceae
Source: RNAcentral
CACUGGUCGAGAGCUGACGCCAGUCUUCUGAUGAGUCCAAAACAUGACGAAACCAGUG